This 253-nucleotide ribosomal RNA is filed under the name uncultured bacterium. RNAcentral's name for it is "partial 16S ribosomal RNA". It matches the Rfam family "Bacterial small subunit ribosomal RNA", at positions 524 to 776 of the family's 1533-position model. The record is from RNAcentral.
UACGUAGGUGGCAAGCGUUGUUCGGAAUUACUGGGCGUAAAGCGCGUGUAGGCGGCUCUUCAAGUCAGACGUGAAAGCCCCGGGCUUAACUCGGGAACUGCGUUUGAUACUGUCGAGCUAGAGUGUGGAAGGGGCGAUUGGAAUUCCGUGUGUAGCGGUGAAAUGCGUAGAUAUACGGAGGAACACCAGGGGCGAAGGCGGAUCGCUGGGCCAACACUGACGCUGAGACGCGAAAGCGUGGGGAGCGAACAGG